CAGGAGGAAUCUGGUGGCGUGAUCUGGCAACCCUGUAGUGCCUCUCCUCUGCACGUACGCUGCAGCGGCGGAAGAACAAAAACACAUCAGGCAGAAGCCGAGAUAAACACAUUUCUGCCCGGGUUUAUUUCUCCUCAGCAUCCUCGGUGUGAGUUAAGGUGGUCAAACUGAGCUCAUCUGCACGCGUGCAGCAGCUAAAGCCCAGCAUCCCAGACUUCACUUCACUACGAGCCUGAUCGGCCAUGGAGGGCUGCCAUUUGUCCUGUACGUUUUAUGGCUGUAAGCGUACUUACUCCAAUUCGGAAGCGCUGAACAGUCACCUCCAGGAUCAUCAUAAGAGCCCUGCACAAUCCCUCCCCGGGAAAUCCUUCCUGUGCUCCACAAUAGGAUGUGAAGCUUCGUUCUCCAACAUGCAGCAGCUCAUGGAUCAUGGGAGGCAUCACCACAAGCCAAAUUACUUUUUCCUCUGUGAGAGCUGCAGAGCGAAGCUGCGCUCAUACCGCACCCUCCUGAAACACCUGCAGACUUGCGCCAAGGUGGCCAAAAAGGCGUCGAAGGUAGAACCUGGAGCAGCUCCUGACUUGGAUCCUUCUGGUGUCCCCCUGGCCCCUGUGGACAUGGAGCACUCCGGGCCUUUACUGGCCCCCGAGCAGAUGGAAGCUCAGCCUUCUCUGCUGUCAAACUCAGCAGCGCUGUCCCAGCCCAACCAGCAAGUUCAGCAAACUCCCAAUGGCUCAUCACUGGACCCCAUUUCCAUCAGGCCUCCUGCAGACUCCAUGGCUGUUUCAGAGCCAGCAAAAACCCAAAACAUGUCCGGUCAGCCGGAUGCCUCCUACAGCCCAUUCCCACCCAGUUUGUCUCCGGUUCACCCAGCCGUUCUGCCUGACCCGUCCCAGCAGGAGCAGCAGCAGUGGUCUGCCAGAAUCGGCCAGUCCAGCCUGGCAUCCUCUCCGCCGCACUCACCGCCCGGCUCAAACGCCGUCUGGAGGAAGAACCAAGACCCGCCUGCGCCCCUUUUGCACAGAUGGAACUCUCCUCCAAGCAAUCAGGCUCAGGCUUUAAGUAGAGAGGAAGUCCAGGCCAGUCCUUCAGCAGUCGGAUCCUUUGGGAGCACACCAGGGGGCGCUACAGCUGCCUUCAGUGCGGCCACUGCACCCCCGACCGCAAAGAGAUGACCGCACACAUAGAUGGCCAGCACAGAAGCCCAGGGGGCAAAACGAACACUGAUACAGACGCAGUUGUCGUCUCGCCUUCGCUGCUGGUUAAAAUCUCCCCCGACUCUGAAAACUCCAGUUACACUCAGCUCUGACUGCAGAAGAGGUCAUAAACCUCAACACUAGACAACACAUUUCUCUGGCUCCCAUGACUGGAAGGGUUACUGAUGGACACUGAUGGCCAGAGAGACCGGAGAGGGAGGUGACGGCUCUGUCCUGAUGAUUACGGUGAAUUAUGUGUGAUUUUCAAGCUGACUUAACCAAGGAAUAUGGAUCACGGUCAUGUGCCCACUAAUGAAGAAAGCCACACGUGUGACUGAUGUUUUAAAGGGCAAUUCCGCUGAUUUUUCUAAAUUUCUGCAUAGUUCGGUGUGUGACAUGUAAACAGAAUAUAGUGGAACAUCUGAAAUAAUAAGCUUUGUUAGGGGACUGUUUUGCCUUGCAAGGUCCUGUAAGUACCUCUUCAUAUAAAUUGUUUAUAGAACGCAUUUUAGGCCAAAAACUUAAAGUUUGCCCUAAAACAAUGUCUCAGACAUCCUUCCGAGAGGGAGCUUUUAGAGGUGGACGUCUGGUUCCUAUCACCACCACUGUGAACAGUUCUGGCUCUGUAAGUUCCUCUAGAACAGAGCGUUUCACACCAAACCGCUCUGAACCGCUCUGUUUACAUCUCAGUUAUUACUUUAUGCAGCAUUUUUGAAACCCUUUAUCUGCAUGCUGUUUAUACUGGUUAGAUAGCAUCAAGGUUUAAAGCUAGUUAAAUAUUAAAGAGGUAUAUUUACAGUUUGUAAGGUGUACAUUGGUGUAUGUGCUCUUGUAGCAGGUCCAUAUUUAUCAAAUAUUUCAGUGAUUUAAAACCAAUUAUGUUUGGAAUGUGAACCUCAUUUUUUACUGUAUGAAUAAUGAGUACAUUGUUAAUGUAUUUUAGGUGUAGUGCAGCAUCAGUACACCUUUAAUAAAGCAGUACUUUGAUUUUGUUUGCAUUAAGAUUAAGUGACCCUUAUUAGUACCACAACGGGGAGAUUUCACCUCCGCAUUUAACCCAUCCAUGCAGUGAAACACCACACACACCAGUGAGCACACUUGCCAAGAGUGGUGGGCAGCCCUAUCCACAGCGCCCGGGGAGCAGUUGGGGGUUAGGUGUCUUGCUCAAGGACACCUUAGUCACGUAUUUUCGGCGCUGGGGAUCGAACCGGCGACCUUCCGGUCGCAGGGCCGGUUCUCUAACGUCCAGCUCACAACUGCCCCCAUAUAAUCAGUAUGUUUUUUUUUUCAUAUAAGUAGUUACACCUUGAUUUGUACAGUGUUGUAAAUGUAAUAAUUUGCUCCUUGUUUCUUUUUCAGUGUCAAAAUGCACCAUUAAAAUAGCGUGAAACGGUU
Molecule: RNA transcript, 2591 nt
Organism: Pygocentrus nattereri (red-bellied piranha)
Lineage: Eukaryota; Metazoa; Chordata; Actinopteri; Characiformes; Serrasalmidae
Gene: znf414
Gene name: zinc finger protein 414
Exons: 8
Source: RefSeq, a predicted model, not a curated record